RNAcentral lists this unclassified non-coding RNA (1918 nucleotides) under Hevea brasiliensis (rubber tree). The record is from RNAcentral. Lineage: Eukaryota; Viridiplantae; Streptophyta; Magnoliopsida; Malpighiales; Euphorbiaceae.
GGAGUGUAUACUACAAACCGGCCUAGACGACUGAGGUAUUAACGUUAAUCGCCGAUUCCUAAACCCUAGUUUUGUUCUUCGUAUAUCGGAGAUGGCGAAGAAGAAAGAGAGGUCGGUGAAUGUAUCGGGAAAGCCAAAGCAUUCAUUGGACUCCAAUAGGGAUGUCAGCGCAGCCAAAAAUGGCCGUAGCGCCGCUACUGUGCGGCGGCUCAAGAUGUACAAUACCAGGCCGAAGCGUAAUCCUCAGGGUCACAUAAUUAAGCACGACUUACAAUCAAAGGAGCUGCCAUCAACAAGGAUACAACCAGAUCGUCGUUGGUUCGGUAAUACUCGGGUGGUCAACCAGAAGGAACUGGAGUUUUUUAGAGAAGAGCUCCAAACUCGGCUUUCCAGUAACUACAAUGUUAUAUUAAAAGAAAGGAAGUUGCCCAUGUCCCUUUUAAAUGAUCAUCAGAAGCAAGUAAAAGUUCAUCUGCUUGACAAUGAGCCAUUUGCUGAUGCUUUUGGACCAAAAACAAAGAGGAAACGCCCCAAACUUAUGGCAUUAGAUUAUGAAGCUUUAGUGAAGAAGGUUGAUGUGUCUCAUGAUGAUUUUGAAGACAAACAUGGUGCUAGCACCUCCAUGGAUGAAAAUGCUGAUGGAUUCAGAGAUCUUGUUAGGCACACAAUGUUUGAGAAAGGACAAAGUAAACGAAUUUGGAGUGAGCUCUACAAAGUCAUAGACUCUUCUGAUGUCGUUAUUCAGGUUCUUGAUGCCAGAGACCCCUGUGGUACAAGGUGCUACCAUUUGGAGAAACAUUUGAAAGAAAAUUGCAAGCACAAACAUAUGGUCCUUUUGCUUAAUAAGUGUGAUUUGGUCCCUGCUUGGGCAACAAAGGGAUGGCUUAGAGUGCUCUCUAGGGAAUAUCCAACUUUGGCAUUUCAUGCAAGUGUCACCAAGUCCUUUGGAAAGGGUUCUCUUUUGUCAGUGCUGAGACAGUUUUCUCGUCUAAAGAGCGAUAAGCAAGCAAUCUCUGUUGGUUUUAUAGGCUAUCCCAAUGUUGGCAAGUCAUCAGUUAUUAAUACAUUGCGCACAAAGAAUGUUUGCAAGGUGGCUCCUAUCCCAGGAGAGACUAAAGUGUGGCAGUACAUUACACUCACAAAGAGGAUAUUCUUGAUUGAUUGUCCUGGUGUAGUUUAUCAGAAUCAUGAUUCCGAAACAGAUAUAGUCUUGAAGGGCGUGGUACGAGUGACAAACCUACCUGAUGCUUCUGAACACAUUAGCGAAGUGUUGAAUCGCGUUAAGAAGGAGCAUCUUAAAAGAGCUUAUAAGAUAGAGAAUUGGGUUGACGAGUAUGACUUUCUUCAACAGCUAUGCAAGUCUUCAGGCAAACUUCUGAAGGGAGGUGAACCUGACUACAAUACUGCUGCCAAGAUGGUUCUCCAUGAUUGGCAAAGAGGCAACAUUCCUUUCUUUGUUCCACCUCCAAAGCUUGAUGAUGAGCCAAAUGAACUUGUCGCAGAGGCAGACACAGCCGUUGAUAACGAUCAGGCCACAGCUGCUCUCAAAGCUAUUGCUGACGUCGUUUCAUCACAACAACUGAAGGAAGUUCCUGUUCAGGAGGAACUAUUUAGUAAGGCUGAGCUGUUGGGUGAAAACUAAUAUGGGCGGAUUAUCCUUUAGACUUGCAACAUCCACAGUUCUGGAAUCGAGUUUUCGUAUAUCGUUUUUACAAUCUUUUAGUUGGGUCCAUUGCAUUCCCAGAGUUUUCUAGUCCUAGAAGAGAUUGAUAUACUGGUCGAAAAUAUAGAUACCUCGUAUUUUUGUUUUAACGUUUAUUUCGAAUUGAGUGUUAAUGGAAAUGAUUAAUAUCAUCUAGCUCAACUUGUUUAAGAUUGAAGCUUCUUUCUGUUCUAUACGAGUUACAUGAGAUUUUGC